GUCUGUGUGUGUGUCUUCAUGUUGAAUUUGAGCUAUAAAACCUACGCUUACUGAUAUGAUAAUGCUGUGUUGAUGUUCAUGUACUUACAGUAUAAUGAUUGGCCUGAUCCCCUGACUUUUGCUGUCCAUCUGAGUCCCAUACUAUGUGAGGUGUGUGUAAAUGUCCAGGAGGAGACAAUAAUCCAACUGCACUCUUCAGUGUCCUGCUGCUGAAUGAGUGUGUGUAUACUAAGUAUGAUGAUUGGCCUGAUCCCCUGACUUUUGCUGUCCACCUGAGUCCCAUACUAUGUGAGGCGUUUGUAAAUGUCCAGGAGGAGACAAUAAUCCAACUGCACUGUUCAGUGUCCUGCUGCUGAAUGAGUGUCUGUAUACUAAGUAUGAUGAUUGGCCUGAUCCCCUGACUUUUGCUGUCCACCUGAGUCCCAUACUAUGUGAGGCGUGUGUAAAUGUCCAGGAGGAGACAAUAAUCCAACUGCACUGUUCAGUGUCCUGCUGCUGAAUGAGUGUCUGUAUACUAAGUAUGAUGAUUGGCCUGAUCCCCUGACUUUUGCUGUCCACCUGAGUCCCAUACUAUGUGAGGCGUGUGUAACUGUCCAGGAGGAGACAAUAAUCCAACUGCACUCUUCAGUGUCCUGCUGCUGAAUGAGUGUGUGUAUACUAAGUAUGCUGAUUGGCCUGAUCCCCUGACUUUUGCUGUCCACCUGAGUCCCAUACUAUGUGAGGCGUGUGUAACUGUCCAGGAGGAGACAAUAAUCCAACUGCACUCUUCAGUGUCCUGCUGCUGAAUGAGUGUGUGUAUACUAAGGUGAGCUUUUAGAAGCAUCUCCUUUCUGACAUCACAAACAAGUGACCCUAUUGGAAUAGAGUGGCAGACUAACAUGUAUCUGUUCAAGACACUGUCAUCCUAAGGUGAAUGUGGUUUGAAUCCUUUGCAGAGCUUAUACCACUUGUAGGGUAGUAUAAAGCCGUAGUAUUUCUAGAACAUUGUCUCUCCCUGUCUCUCUGUCUCCCUCCCCAUCUCU
Molecule: long non-coding RNA, 1022 nt
Organism: Engraulis encrasicolus (European anchovy)
Lineage: Eukaryota; Metazoa; Chordata; Actinopteri; Clupeiformes; Engraulidae
Exons: 5
Source: RefSeq, a predicted model, not a curated record